Molecule: ribosomal RNA, 247 nt
Filed under: Pacispora scintillans
Lineage: Eukaryota; Fungi; Glomeromycota; Glomeromycetes; Diversisporales; Pacisporaceae
Source: RNAcentral
CAGACGUGCCUGUAGUUGCUCAUCCGAGCCUCCGCUCGGUGCACUCUUCUAUGGGCAGGCCAGCAUCAGUUUGGGCGGUCGGAUAAAGGCUUCGGGAAUGUAGCUCCCCUCGGGGAGUGUUAUAGCCCGGAGUGCCAUGCGACCAGCCUGGACUGAGGUCCGCGCAUCUGCUAGGAUGCUGGCGUAAUGGCUGUAAGCGGCCCGUCUUGAAACACGGACCAAGGAGUCUAACAUAUAUGCGAGUGUU